This is a long non-coding RNA of Anser brachyrhynchus (Pink-footed goose), 409 nucleotides long. The record is from Ensembl. Lineage: Eukaryota; Metazoa; Chordata; Aves; Anseriformes; Anatidae.
UUCAUUCUAUCCUCUUUGAUCAUUCAAAAUAGUUCAUCUACAUCUUUUUUACUUUCAUAUUCUAGUUGGUGCCUCUUUACAUUGCUCAGACAAGUGAAACACAGAUAAUAUUUUAAAAAUUAUUUCUGUGCUUGGUGUGGUCUAAAUAUUCCAUGAAUUGUGGGACAGUCUUUCUUUCAGAAAUAUUCAGAACACAUCUGUUCUCUGGUGUCCGAUGACAUGGUCCUCAGAUUUUGGUCUUGGUUUCUACCAGUAUUUCCACGUUGUUGUCUCCACAAUAAAAGAAAUACAUUUUCACAGUGCAAGUAUACAGCUCUUCUGGCUAUAUAAAACAAGUGGAAGGGAUUUCCUUCUGAAUGAGUCUGUUUGUCUACAUGAAGUGGUACUACAUAGUGGUGUUAGGUUCUCC